RNAcentral lists this unclassified non-coding RNA (169 nucleotides) under uncultured Plectosphaerella. RNAcentral's name for it is "sequence contains ITS2". The record is from RNAcentral. Lineage: Eukaryota; Fungi; Ascomycota; Sordariomycetes; Glomerellales; Plectosphaerellaceae.
CAACCCUCGAGCCCCCGUGGCCCGGCGUUGGGGAUCUGCCACGGCAGGCCCCUAAAACCAGUGGCGGACCCGAAGGGCCCUCUCCUUUGCGCAGUAGCAUCAGCCUCGCAUCGGGAGCCCUCGGCGUCCUGCCUCUAAACCCCCUACAAGCCCGCCCCGGCGGCACCAA